This 626-nucleotide ribosomal RNA is filed under the name Actinomycetales bacterium So3Ps_1800. RNAcentral describes it as "bacterial SSU rRNA". It matches the Rfam family "Bacterial small subunit ribosomal RNA", at positions 392 to 1030 of the family's 1533-position model. Lineage: Bacteria; Bacillati; Actinomycetota; Actinomycetes; Actinomycetales. The record is from RNAcentral.
CGACGCCGCGUGAGGGAUGACGGCCUUCGGGUUGUAACCUCUUUCAGCACGGAAGAAGCGAAAGUGACGGUACCUGCCUAAAAAGCGCCGGCUAACUACGUGCCAGCAGCCGCGGUAAUACGUACGGCGCAAGCGUUGUCCGGAAUUAUUGGGCGUAAAGAGCUCGUAUGCGGCUUGUCACGUCGGAUGUGAAAGCCCGGGGCUUAACCCCGGGUCUGCAUUCGAUACGGGCUAGCUUGAGUGUGGUAGGGGAGAUCGGAAUUCCUGGUGUAGCGGUGAAAUGCGCAGAUGUCAAGAGGAACACCGGUGGCGAAAGCGGAUCUCUGGGCCAUUACUGACGCUUAGGAGCGAAAGCCUGAGGAGCGAACAGGAGUAUAUACCCUGGUAGUCCACGCCCUGGACGUUGGGAACUAGGUGUUGGCAACCUUCCACGUCGUCGGUGCCUCAGCUGAUGCAUUAAGUUCCCCGCCAGGCGAGUACGGCCGCACGGCUAAAACUCUGAGGAAUUGACGGGGGCCCGCACAAGCAGCGGAGCAUGUGGCUUAGUUCGACGCAUCGCUGAUAACCUUACCAAGGCUUGACAUAUACCGGAUAGCAUCACAGAUGGUGCCCCCCCUUGUGGUCGG